CCAGCGCGUUUCCUCGCCCCAGGGCGCACAGCCCGCCAGGCUGGCCGGACCCCAGCAGGCAGGCUGUCAACUGAGCUUAAAAAUGAAAAUGCAUUUCCCCUUACCUAAAAAUACAGCGCUGGUUACAUAAAUCCUUGAGAUCCCAGAAACUACUCCAACCAAAAAGUACUGAUCAACGCUUUCAUCAUUCCCACCAGGUUUCGCAGUUGCUGAAGCAAAUACCAUGCAAUGGGUAGACUUAACAACAGGACUUCAUUAGCUCAUGGUUUCAGAGGUUAGAAGGCUUUCUUCCUCCCAAGGUUCCUAUGACUUCUACCUUCUGGGCAUUCCCCCUGGCUUCUCUCUGUCGGCCUUUCACACUGUUUAUAAGGGACUCCAGUAAUCUGGAUUAAAGCCCAACCUGAUUCUGUGGGGCCACACCUUAACUGAGAGUCUACUUUAUCUGAAAUUUAUACUAUUAUACCAGUUUUCCUUUGAUCUAAAAAGAGCCCACAGGACAACUGUGCUUGCUUCACCAUGCUACUGGAGCCCAUCUUGGAUGGCAGAAGCAGAGAGAGCUUCAGGGAUGAAAUGCAGCUCAUUGGACGUGCCAAUCAAACGCUGUUCCACUUCAUUGCAUGCAUUAUGGUAGAUUCAAUUAUGUACCCCAGUAAAAGACAUGUUCUUCAUGAGCCCAUUGUAUUGUAAAUAGGACUUUUGAAGAUAUUAUUUUUAUUAAGGUUUGGCCCAACUGAAUGAGGGUGGGCCUUAAUCCUAGUACAGAAAGCUUUAUCAGACAGAGCCACUCGGAAGAGCAGAAGCUGGAAGUCAAGGGAGCCCAGAGGAGAAACGAGAGAGCUCUGCCAAGUGUUAGAAAAGCCAAGGACCCAAGGAUCACCAGCAGUCUUUGGGGAGGAAGCCUUGCCAAUGCCUUGAUUUUGUACUAGACUUAAAACCAUGAGCCAAUAAAUUCCUGUUGUUG
Long non-coding RNA from Choloepus didactylus (southern two-toed sloth), 961 nucleotides. RefSeq lists it as uncharacterized. The transcript is spliced from 5 exons. NCBI's taxonomy places the organism in Eukaryota, Metazoa, Chordata, Mammalia, Pilosa, Megalonychidae. The record is from RefSeq and is a predicted model, not a curated record.